UGUGUCAAACGACAUCUACACAAAAACCCUAAUCGGAUGCUCCUAUUUUCUCCCACACCACUAUCGCACAAGCAGUGAAGCAACAUCCAUUCUCCAACCUCACAACACCCACCGUCUCCUCCAUCUCUCUACCCUCGCAAUAAUUUUCUAGCGACCAACCCCCACUACGAUCCAUCUCUACCUCUCUUCUCUAUCCUAACUUACUAUCCAUACCUGACACCACUCAUCGUCAUAGAUAACGUAAUCACCGAUGCCUCCAUCUCCGCCAUCAUCCAGUGGCAAAGCGUCAACGGCCAUCAUGCUUGGAAUCUAGCAUCAGUGACCUAACUCAUUCAACCGACCCUAAAAAGGCCCUUUUGUUCUAUGCUAAUCUCACUAAGGUAAAUUUCAAGAAUAUAUGCUUUUUUUGUUUGAUUAUUCCUUAUCAAUGUGUAUAACUAUUUCUUGCAUUUUGCAUUCACGUCACAUCCUUGCCCAACUCAAUGGAGUCUUGAUGCACCAUUGUUCUUCCUACGCUACCACAGCCACACUCCUCUUCUCUACACAAACAGACACACAUUGUUGAUAGACCCACCUCCAUUUCUUCUGACUGAUUAUUCUUUGGUUUAUGCAGGUCAAAUGAGUAAAAAAGAUUACUAAACAUACUGAUUGCAUAAGAAAUUGGGUUAUCAGUUAAUUAUAGUGAAGGCUGAAAAUUACAUGAGGUUACCAACUAAUUAUAGUGAAGGCUGAAAAUUACAUGAGUUGAUUUCCAAAUCAGAUGUAGGUGAUGGAAUCAAUUUGGAGUUCUGGAGAGGUGUAUCAAGCCUUGAAAAGCUUGAAUCUUAAGAUAAAUGAAGUUAGUCUUCACUGUUCAGACCGGUGGAUAUAGCCAAGACAUGAUCUCUAUAGUGAGCUUUUCUUUAUCAAAGAUCAAUAAAGGAUUUGUCAUGGUAAUUAAGUGUACACAUAAUUAUAUGCAUCUUGCCAUUCAAAGUCGUUGAUCCCAGGUUUAACUCUAUGGAUCCCAAUGGUUGCAAUUUCCUUACUCCAGACAACCCUCCUCCUCCUCUCGAUAAACAAUUCAAAGAGGCAUAAUCAUUGAUUUUCGAUCAUCCACCGCUAUGGGUUCCACUGAUAAUUUUGUGGCUAUGUUGUGGAAGGUAAUUAGUUUUUAUUUGUUGAAGUGAAACUAUUCAUCAUUUUUAGACAUGAAAGCGUUCUUCAAUUUCAUUGAAAGCAUAUAUGACGAAAUAUAAAACAAUCGGCUGAAGUACACAAUCUGCGGAACAAAUCAAAAGUAAUAGUGAAACCCGACAAACAUUUCAAAAGCAGUGAAGUCUAUAUAUUAAAUGUGGUGUCUAAAAAGUGUUGCACGAUUAAUAAUGCACAAUCAAUCAUGUAUCCAUGUAUAUUUGUAAAAAUCCUAACUUUUCAUUUGUAAUUGUAUUUCUGCUAGCAUUACUCUUA
This is a long non-coding RNA of Lactuca sativa (garden lettuce), 1449 nucleotides long. RefSeq lists it as uncharacterized. NCBI's taxonomy places the organism in Eukaryota, Viridiplantae, Streptophyta, Magnoliopsida, Asterales, Asteraceae. The record is from RefSeq and is a predicted model, not a curated record.